AACGAACGCUGGCGGCACGCCUAAUACAUGCAAGUCGUACGAGAAAGCUUCUUCGGGAGUGAUUAAAGUGGCGCACGGGUGAGUAACACGUAGAUGACUUACCUCAUAGUUUGGGAUAACAGGGAGAAGUUCCUGCUAAUACCGGAUGUUUUUAUAAAACUUGGAAAUAUAUAAACAAAGGUGGCCUCUUUACAAUGCUAUCGCUAUGAGAAAGGUCUGCGUCCCAUUAGCUUGUUGGUGAGGUAAUAGCUUACCAAGGCAACGAUGGGUAACCGGUCUGAGAGGAUGAUCGGUCACACUGGAACUGAGACACGGUCCAG
RNAcentral lists this ribosomal RNA (320 nucleotides) under uncultured bacterium. RNAcentral's name for it is "bacterial SSU rRNA". It matches the Rfam family "Bacterial small subunit ribosomal RNA", at positions 29 to 334 of the family's 1533-position model. The record is from RNAcentral.